Long non-coding RNA from Perca flavescens (yellow perch), 193 nucleotides. RefSeq lists it as uncharacterized. NCBI's taxonomy places the organism in Eukaryota, Metazoa, Chordata, Actinopteri, Perciformes, Percidae. The transcript has 3 exons. The record is from RefSeq and is a predicted model, not a curated record.
AUUGGUCUGGUUGUUACAAUCAGGAAACUUCAGAAAGCUGCCAAUGAAGAACAGAAUCCACAACAGCCUGAGAACCGGGCCUCUGAAGAGCUGAACUACGCAGCUGUGGCUUUCCGUCCAAAAACAAGAAAAACAAGAGAAGUGGAGCCCAAUGUUGUGUAUGCUUCUACUAGAUAGACUCAGGAUGAAACCA